ACCAUUCCCGGAGAAGACGACCGUUCCAAGCUCCAACCCUCCGCAUCGCCACCGCACGUGUCUUCUUCCCCCUCCGGCCACUACUACCACUCCAGCGACCUCCUCCCCAACCCUAGGCUAGCGGCUAGCCACCUCGGCUCCUCGCCGCCAUGGGCACCCCUCUCCUCCCCCUCCUCGUCGUCCUCCAGCUGCUCACCGCCCACUCCUCCCCCGCGGCCGCGUCACCGCACAUCUCCGCCGUCAUCUCCCAGUCGGGCCUCGACUUCGCCAAGGACCUGCUCGUGUCCCGCGCCGCGGAGACGCUCACGCCCCUGAGCGUGCCGGACAUCGAGAGAUCCAUGAGCAUCCCGCUCGUCGGCAGCGUCCGCAUGACCGCCUCCGGGAUCGUGCUCCACGGCCUCAACGUCACCAACUCUACCGUCGCCGUCGGGGAAACAGGCGUCGUCGUGGCCGCCUCGCUUGCUAGAGCGAACCUCACCAUGGGGUGGAGCUACUCGUACAGCGCCUGGGUUGUGACCGUCUCUGACUGCGGGAAUGCUUCGAUUCAGGUUGAAGGAAUGGAGGUUGGGGUUUCCAUGGGCAUGAAGAAUCAAAAUGGAUCUCUCAAGCUGUCUGUUAUGGAAUGUGGCUGUUAUAUGAAGGAGAUAGACAUAACAUUAAAUGGAGGAGCAUCUUGGUUCUAUCAAGUGUUUAUAGAUGCUUUCAGCAAUCAUAUCAGAUCAUCAGUGGAAAAUGCAAUUACGAAAAAGAUAAUGGAAGGUGCACUGAAGCUUGACUCGUUACUCGGAAACCUUCCAAAGAAAAUAGAUCUUGAUAGUGUUGCUGCAAUGAAUGUGACUUUUGUUAAUGAUCCCCUAUUCAAGAGCUCCUCUGUUGAGUUUGAUAUAGACGGCUUAUUUGUCCCGUCUAAUGAAACUGUUGUUCCGAGAGACAUGAUUCUUGGAGAUAUCAAAUACGCAUUACCUCUUGGGAGUUCCUCGAAAAUGCUUUGGAUUUCAUUGGAUGAAGAUGUUUUUAACUCUGUUUCAGAUCUGUACUUCAAGGCUGGUUUGCUGCAAAGGAUGGUGGACAAGAUUCCCGAACAGUUUCUUUUGAACACUGCUAGCUGGAGGUUUUUGGUUCCUCAAUUGUAUAAAAAAUAUCCAAAUGAUAAUAUGCUACUAAAUAUUUCUGCAAUUUCACCUCCCUAUGUGAGGAUUAAUGUGGGCAGAAUUGAUGCCACCAUUGACUUAGAUGUCACAGUUAAUGUUUUGGAUUCUGGCAAGAUAAUUCCAGUUGCCUGCAUGUCAGUGUCAGUUGCUGUUUCUGGAGCCGCAGCGGUAUCAGGGAAUAACCUUGGUGGAAGAGUGGAAUUGGAUUAUUUCUCAUUUACAUUGAAGUGGAGUCGAGUUGGCAAACUCCACACUGUUCUAGUUCAGGUGAUUUUGCUGAACUAUAUAUUUAUGUUGUCUUCCUGCUUGUCCUAUUUUGUCUCCUAGAUGCAGGGUCUUCAAUUGCACACACCACACCCUUUAAGCAAGUCCAGCUUCGACAUAAUGCAUUUGUGGCGAGAGGAAAGUUAUGAAUGUGCUACGAAUUUUCCUGAAACACUUGUUUGUGCCUUAUGUGAACUCAUAUCUCGAGCAAGGCUUCCCGUUGCCCAUCAUCAAGGGUUUCUCCAUCAGAGAUGCAUAUAUCCUCACUUCUUUCUCAAAAUUGAUUGUAAGCUGCGAUGUCACCUUCAUUGAACCAGGGGCCCUGUUCCCUGUCCAGACCCAUGGAAGAUUUAUCCUAUAAAUUUUAUCCAGCAAAAGCAUGGCAACCACCAUGGAACUACUAGUGUAGGCUCCUGCUUUAGCAAAUCGUACAGUAAUAAUGCCAUUCAUACUGUAAUAAUGUAGCAUUUCCUUUUUUAUGUAAACAAAUGUGCAAUGUAUACAUGUAUAUGCAGAGCCGUACAAGCAGUCCUUAGGUUGAGUUGUUACACUAGGUUUGAACAGGAGAAGUGGAUACUUGUAAAGUUGUAAUGCACUAUGAACCUGUCACUCUUACAUUGAACAGCAAUCGAGGUGCCUGUAUAUAAUA
This is an RNA transcript of Panicum virgatum (switchgrass), 2064 nucleotides long. It is a transcript of the gene named putative BPI/LBP family protein At1g04970, with no coding region annotated. The transcript has 6 exons. NCBI's taxonomy places the organism in Eukaryota, Viridiplantae, Streptophyta, Magnoliopsida, Poales, Poaceae. The record is from RefSeq and is a predicted model, not a curated record.